CACGUAGGGGGCGAGCGUUGUCCGGAUUCAUUGGGCGUAAAGGGCGCGCAGGCGGCCCGGCAAGUCGGAUGUGAAAACUCGAGGCUCAACCUCGAGACGCCGAUGGAAACCAUGUGGCUAGAGUCCGGAAGAGGAGAGUGGAAUUCCUGGUGUAGCGGUGAAAUGCGCAGAUAUCAGGAGGAACACCUGUGGCGAAGGCGGCUCACUGGACCAUAACUGACGCUGAUGCACGAGAGCUAGGGGAGCAAACAGG
This 253-nucleotide ribosomal RNA is filed under the name uncultured bacterium. RNAcentral's name for it is "partial 16S ribosomal RNA". It matches the Rfam family "Bacterial small subunit ribosomal RNA", at positions 524 to 776 of the family's 1533-position model. The record is from RNAcentral.